AGCAGGUGUGGCCACUCCUUGCGGGAUGAGAGGCUCCAGCAGUAUCUAAGGGAAAGAUCAUCUUGUAAAGUGAAACAAGAUCUCCUUGCCAAGUGGAGGAACAUGGCAACCAAAAGCAUCACAGGUGUCCUCCCAACUUAACCUGAACCUCAUUCACUGGAUUGUCUUUGAGUGACUUUGGGCUGUCUCCUUAAAUAAAAUCCACCCUCAUUGGAAAAAGGCUUGCUGCCAUUGACAGGAGUCAAAAGAAUAGGCUCUUGACUCUGAAGGAAGAUCCCAAGAUAUAAUUUAUUUCAACUCAUUUAAGAUGUCGGCAGUGAAGUUGAUGAGGAAACUGAGGCAUGGAGAGUUUAAAGUAAGUGACUUAUUUAAAGGAACACAACUGGAUUCAUGUAAGGCUUUGUUCUCAAACUUCUACUUUUACACCCCAAAAUUCAACAACAUUCUUUUCAUUUUACUAUGCUACCUCUCUCCUCUUUUUCAAAGAUUUGGCUAGACUGAUCAAUGACCAUGCUUACCAAAUUCAUAUUGAAACACAAUGGUGAGAGGAUUAGCUACUGUAUUUAACAAAUUCUCUUUAUAUAGAGAGAUCCAGGAAAUGUCAACAUCUGGAUGAAUUGACUAAAAUGAAAUUUAAGAGGGACAUUGGUAAAAUCUUUUAGUUGGGUUCUAAAUACCACCAUCCCUGAGAAGUCAC
RNAcentral lists this long non-coding RNA (697 nucleotides) under Monodelphis domestica (gray short-tailed opossum). RNAcentral describes it as "lncRNA (ENSMODG00000041792.1)". Lineage: Eukaryota; Metazoa; Chordata; Mammalia; Didelphimorphia; Didelphidae. The record is from RNAcentral.